Molecule: ribosomal RNA, 378 nt
Filed under: uncultured bacterium
Lineage: Bacteria
Description: partial 16S ribosomal RNA
Rfam family: Bacterial small subunit ribosomal RNA
Source: RNAcentral
CCUACGGGUGGCUGCAGUGGGGAAUAUUGGACAAUGGGCGAAACCCUGAUCCAGCGACGCCGCGUGAGUGAAGAAGUAUUUCGGUACGUUAAGCUCUAUCAGCAGGAAAGAAAAUGACGGUACCUGACUCAGAAGCCCCGUCUAACUACGUGCCAGCAGCCCCGGUAAUGCGUCGGGGGCAGACGUUAUCCGGAUUUACUGGGUGUAAAGGGAGCGUAGGCGGCUGCGCAAGUCUGGAGGGAAAAGCCGGGGGCCAACCCCGGAACUGCUGUGGAAACUGUGAAGCUGGAGUGGAGGAGAGGUAAGCGGAAUGCGUGGUGUAGCGGUGAAAUGCGUAGAUAUCGGGAGGAAUACUGAUUGCGAAGGCGGCCUGCCAGA